This 117-nucleotide non-coding RNA is filed under the name Chlorocebus sabaeus (green monkey). Lineage: Eukaryota; Metazoa; Chordata; Mammalia; Primates; Cercopithecidae. The record is from Rfam by way of RNAcentral.
GCCAGGUGUGGUGGCUCACACCUGUAAUCCCAGCACUUCAGGAGGCUGAGGUGGGAGGAUCGCUUGAGCCCAGGAGUUCAAGACCAGCCUGGGCAACAUAGUGAGAUCUCAUAUCUA